This 65-nucleotide transfer RNA is filed under the name Cypridina dentata. RNAcentral's name for it is "tRNA-Met". Lineage: Eukaryota; Metazoa; Arthropoda; Ostracoda; Myodocopida; Cypridinidae. The record is from RNAcentral.
AAAGAAGUAAGCUAAAAUAAGCUACUGGACUCAUGUUCCAGAAAUGGUUUUGAAACCCUUCUUUA